UAGGGAAUAUUGGUAAUGUGCGAAAGCGCGAACCAGCAACGCCGCGUGCGCGAUGAAGGCCUUCGGGUUGUAAAGCGCUUUUAGAAAGGAUAAGGAAGGACAGUACUCUCUGAAUAAGCCUCGGCUAACUACGUGCCAGCAGCCGCGGUAAAACGUAGGAGGCUAGCGUUAUCCGGAUUUAUUGGGCGUAAAGCGCGUGCAGGCGGUCUAGUUAGUUGGAUGUGAAAGCUCCUGGCUUAACUGGGAGAGGUCGUUCAAUACUGCUAGACUAGAGAAUGGGAGAGGGAGGUGGAAUUCCGGGUGUAGUGGUGAAAUGCGUAGAUAUCCGGAGGAACACCAGUGGCGAAAGCGGCCUCCUAGACCACUUCUGACGCUAAGACGCGAAAGCUAGGGUAGCAAACG
This 402-nucleotide ribosomal RNA is filed under the name uncultured prokaryote. Its description in RNAcentral is "bacterial SSU rRNA". It matches the Rfam family "Bacterial small subunit ribosomal RNA", at positions 355 to 774 of the family's 1533-position model. The record is from RNAcentral.